This 253-nucleotide ribosomal RNA is filed under the name uncultured prokaryote. Its description in RNAcentral is "partial 16S ribosomal RNA". It matches the Rfam family "Bacterial small subunit ribosomal RNA", at positions 524 to 776 of the family's 1533-position model. The record is from RNAcentral.
UACGUAGGGGGCAAGCGUUAUCCGGAUUUACUGGGUGUAAAGGGAGCGUAGACGGUUUGGUAAGUCAGAUGUGAAAGCCCGGGGCUCAACCCCGGGACUGCAUUUGAAACUGCCAGACUAGAGUGCCGGAGAGGUAAGUGGAAUUCCUAGUGUAGCGGUGAAAUGCGUAGAUAUUAGGAGGAACACCAGUGGCGAAGGCGGCUUACUGGACGAUUACUGACGUUGAGGCUCGAAAGCGUGGGGAGCAAACAGG